UGUUAUCAAAAGAAAUCCCAUUGUUUUACAUUUUAAAGAUUUAUUUUUAUUUUUAAUUUGUGUGCGUGGGGCAUGUGCACAUGGCUGCAGGAGCCCCUGGAAUUCAGAAGUGUUAGAUCCCCCUUGGAGCUGGAGUUACAGGCAGAUGUGAGCUGCCUGAUGUGGGUGCUGGGAACCAAACCCUGGUUUUCCACAAGGACAACACACACCCUUAACCACUGGGCCAUCUGUUGUGCAUUUUUUGAAGAUAUCUUCAAUGGCUAGUUAACCAGGCCACUGGACUCUAAUUAAAGUUCUAUAUUUGAUCGGCUAUGAUAGGUAUAUCUCACUGUCUUGACCUGGAAAUUCUGAACACAUGUUUUUAGGAGAACAAAUAAGAAAAAAAUGUAAUUACUGCCUCGGUGUCCUUACCAAAGGUUGUGGCCCCGUGCAUCUCCAGUCUAAGCACAGCUGCCCUACACUCCAGGGAGGAUCUCCAAGCCCUAACCUGCCCUUGCCGCUUCUCUGUCAUCUGCUCAUGAAGGGACCUCGGCUGCUUUAUAGAGAACAGAGGGAGCUUUUCCCUUGGGAACCUUCAAAACUGGAAGAGACCCACAUGUUUUAGUGACAACUGUGACUGGAAAACUGAAGCCAUCUGAGGCCUGGCACUACUAGGAUGUUUCACAAGGAUUCUUUCCACUUUAAACCAGAAGCUCAGGGAUCCUACUGCUUCUGAUGUCCACGAGGUGUCUGCACGUGUGAGUCAUGGCUGGUGGUGAGAACAAAUCAGGUACAGAAAGUAUCUGAUACUCAUUAUCAGUUACUUAUUCAAGAUGGGUGAGGGUCUCUGCUCUUCUAGGAUGUCAUUGUUGCCCAGAUCAUCUUACCUCCCCACAUCUGACUCCAUCACACUCAAAUGCCCAAUAAUUUCACACUUUCCCUAGCCAUGCAGUUCUACAAGCACAGACAGAUGUGGCUUUUGAUGGAAGCAGGCCAGUCACUGCUGACAGGAGAGCAACAUUUUUCCCCAAGAAAAUGAAGGCCAUCAUGACUAAUGCAUGGGGACAUGGGAGUCUGGGCAUCCCUACAUACUAAUUCUUCUGGAAGGAUGUAUCAUUUUCUCCUGCUGGAAACAUGCAUAGAGUAACACUUUAAAGUCAGACUCCCUGUGGGGACUUUGCUUUCUCUUUUUAAAUUGAAUUUGAAUUUGGGGAAUAAUCAUAGAUUCACAUGUACUUGUAAGAAGAAAUAAUACAGAGCGAUCCCUCCUACCGGUUCAUGACUCUUCCUAGUGGUAGGACCUUGUAAACUAUACCAUAGUAUCAGAAUGUCAGCUUUCCUGAAGACUCCUGAGACUUUGCUGACCCGCAGAAGGAGACCUUCUGGGGAGUGAUGAGUUACUUGGCCUUGAAAGGAAAGGCUACAGUUAAGAAACUGGAGGGCAACAUCAGAAGUCAGGGCAACCUGGGCAGAAUUAUCAGGUCGGUUGCAAGAAUAUGAUGGCACUGUUCACUUGCUCACCAUGUAUCCAUGUUCUGCAAGCAUCCAAAGGGGUGGCAGAGCAACAGGCUACCUCAGGUCUCUCUGCCUGUUCUUGGAAAGCUGGUGGUGCCAUUGUGGGAGCCCCAUAAUAAUCCUAAUCACCUCCAAAUGUUGUUAACAUUACCUGUGUUAAAUGUCCAACACCUGUGUUUAGAGGGGACAUGUAGAAACUAUCUGCAGUGAGAGCUGAAAAUUCCCAUCUUAGUAAGUGCCUUUCUUCUGUCCAAGGAGGCUAACACUGUGUCUUCUCAGCCUGUCUCUGUCGGGAGAAACAGCUCCUCCCAGCCCGCCUUCAUCUUCCUGAGGGUGGCCUCUUUCAGCAUUCUCCAAAAUAACAGCUCUGCAUUGCUCUUCCAAUUAAAAUCAACAAAACAGUAAUGAUCUUCCUAUUAUUGAAAAAUGAAAAUAACAAAAAUGGGCAGGGGUAAGGAAGGAAGUUAAAAUUAACCACCAUGCCACAUAAAUAAAUAUUUUAAUGUGUGUUUAUUUCCUCGAAGACUUUUGUUAUUGUGAGAAUAUGCUUGGACUCUGUAUCAUCAGGUUCUGCUCCAUUGGAUUCAAUUAGCUGCAGAUUGAAAGUAUUUGGGGGAAAAUUGCAUCUAUAGUGAACAUUGAUGGACCCUUCCUCAUCGUUAUUCCCUAAACGGUAGAGAAUAAAAACCAUCUACAGCAUUGA
Molecule: long non-coding RNA, 2197 nt
Organism: Mesocricetus auratus (golden hamster)
Lineage: Eukaryota; Metazoa; Chordata; Mammalia; Rodentia; Cricetidae
Exons: 2
Source: RefSeq, a predicted model, not a curated record